Molecule: transfer RNA, 72 nt
Filed under: Perkinsus olseni
Lineage: Eukaryota; Perkinsozoa; Perkinsida; Perkinsidae
Description: tRNA-Thr
Rfam family: tRNA
About the family: Transfer RNA (tRNA) molecules are approximately 80 nucleotides in length. Their secondary structure includes four short double-helical elements and three loops (D, anti-codon, and T loops).
Source: RNAcentral
GCCACUUUUGCUUAGUGGUAGAGCGUCUGCUUCGUGAGCAGAAGAUCGUCAGAUCAAUCCUGGCAAGCGGCU